GUUUGAUGGGACUGGAAACGGGGUUGAGCUCUUUGCCAAGAGCAGAGUGCAGCGAUGACCGAAGUUGUCCACACUCACAGGCCCAUGGCUGCAGCAGAUGUAUGCCAAGAGUAUCUCUGGAGGAGACAGGAAGAGCAAGAGCUCUGAGAAAGGUGUGCAUUGCAUUCCAGUGCGAGAUACGGCCCAUAAAUAUGUUGUCUUGGAUCAUCCUGCCCGCAGUGAGCCAGGACUUGUGGAGAGGAAAUUGCUUUGGGCCGGGACUGUGUUAACUGUUUGACGUUGGCUCUUCCAUGAAGGACUGGGUGCAUUUUCCCACAGAAGUAUUGCCUCAGAAGUGCCAUCUUCAGUGUGCAACCACUCAGGUAAAGAGAACAGUUACAGUAGGGUAAGAAUAUAGUUCAYAUAUUCUCUCUUUCCUGCCACACACAUUGCUUUAUCUUGCAUUACAACUGAGACUAAAUCUUUUGGAAACUGUGUGUCAAGGCUGUUUGCACUCUGAAGGCUGCUCCACUCCUCCGUUGUCUUGCUGACUUUGAAGAUUUGAUUGUAAUGUUAUUGUGUUUUUAGUUCAUGGCUAUAAAUGUGUUUUCUGGUAAUGUUCACACAGAUGUAGGCAAUUUCCAAACAGAAACAGCACCAUUGACACUACUGAUGUCCUCAAGACCCUGAGGUCUGAGGACAAACCRCUGAAUGGAGAGGUUAAAUGAAGGAUUGGAGAAUUGGAGUUACCACCCAAUAGAUGAGACCAAAAUAAACACCCUCAUCUUUUACCA
RNAcentral lists this long non-coding RNA (773 nucleotides) under Dromaius novaehollandiae (emu). RNAcentral's name for it is "lncRNA (ENSDNVG00000008162.1)". Lineage: Eukaryota; Metazoa; Chordata; Aves; Casuariiformes; Dromaiidae. The record is from RNAcentral.